Molecule: ribosomal RNA, 141 nt
Filed under: uncultured eukaryote
Lineage: Eukaryota
Description: partial 18S ribosomal RNA
Rfam family: Eukaryotic small subunit ribosomal RNA
Source: RNAcentral
UGGUGGUGUGAAUUGUCUGGUUAAUUCCGUUAACGAACGAGACCUCGACCUGCUAAAUAGUUCGACGAACCUUCUUGGUUCGAUUGCGACUUCUUAGAGGGACUAUCGGUGUGUAGCCGAUGGAGGUUCGAGGCAAUAACA